ACGGGUGAGUAACACGUAGACAACCUGCCGACAGGAUGGGGACAACAUUCCGAAAGGAAUGCUAAUACCGAAUGAAGCGGAGGAGAGGCAUCUCUCUUCCGUGAAAGAUGGCCUCUGAACAUGCUAUCACCUGUCGAUGGGUCUGCGUCUGAUUAGCUAGUUGGUGAGGUAACGGCUCACCAAGGCGACGAUCAGUAGCCGGUCUGAGAGGAUGAACGGCCACAUUGGGACUGAGACACGGCCCAGACUCCUACGGGAGGCAGCAGUGGGGAAUCUUCCGCAAUGGGCGCAAGCCUGACGGAGCAACGCCGCGUGAGUGAAGAAGGUCUUCGGAUCGUAAAGCUCUGUUGAUGGGGACGAAUGUGCGUGAUGCGAAUAGUGUCAUGCAAUGACGGUACCUAUCGAGGAAGCCACGGCUAACUACGUGCCAGCAGCCGCGGUAAUACGUAGGUGGCGAGCGUUGUCCGGAAUCAUUGGGGCGUAAAGGGAGCGCAGGCGGGCAUGUAAGUCUUUCUUAAAAGUUCGGGGCUCAACCCCGUGAUGGGAAAGAAACUACAUGUCUUGAGUACAGGGAGAGGGAAAGCGGAAUUCCCAGUGUAGCAGUGAAAUGCGUAGAGAUGUGGGAGGAAUACCGAUGGCGAAGGCAGCCCUCCUGGAUAAUACUGACGUUUCAUGCUCGAAAGCGGUGGGUAGGCAAACAGGAUAGAUACCCUGGGUAGUCCCA
Molecule: ribosomal RNA, 724 nt
Filed under: uncultured bacterium
Lineage: Bacteria
Description: bacterial SSU rRNA
Rfam family: Bacterial small subunit ribosomal RNA
Source: RNAcentral